This 129-nucleotide ribosomal RNA is filed under the name Triticum aestivum (bread wheat). RNAcentral describes it as "partial small subunit ribosomal RNA". Lineage: Eukaryota; Viridiplantae; Streptophyta; Magnoliopsida; Poales; Poaceae. The record is from RNAcentral.
AUGGAUGCUUGGGUUACAGAGAAUGACAACGGAAGGGCAGCUCAAUUAGUUCGUCCGGCUUUGGGAGGAACUUCAAUCGAUUCAGCUCACGGACAGCAAAGACAAGAUCCUCUGGAACCUGAUUGCUAA